GAGGAACUGGGGUAGAUGGCCAGGCCAUGCCCCUUCUAGUUGGGACUGGACCAGUAAAAAUGGCACACCAAUGAGGCCACUUUGCAGAUGGGCGGGUGGGGAGCUGAAAGUGCAAUCCACGGUGCCAACAAGCCUCUGGAAAAAAGCAGGGUGGGAGAGAGCAGGCUGGAAAGUGGAGCUCAGUUGUCUAUGUCUGUCCGUCUGUCCGUCUGCCUAUCUGCUAGAGCCAGAACUUUGGGGUCACAGGCCAGGGCCUGGCAACAGUGAGGCACUCUACAAACAGCAUGAGGUGUGACAAAGUCUGCUGCCGAGCUCUAUAAACAGCACUGAGCGCUGAAACAAGCGCCAGGUUCUGUCAAAAAUGAAGGGGUCAGCAAAAUGCACCAGGCUGUGCAACCAGCCCAGUUCCCUCUAGCUCCAGCACAGACUCUUAUCUCCAGCCCUGACUGCCGAAACCCUCCAGCCCCAGCUCCAGCCCCUCAGGAGGGGACUGCGUGGGAGGAAUGACUCCAGCAAGCCGGCAGCUGACCCGUCUCCUGCCUGCACGCCUCCCGCUGUGGUCCACUGCCGGUGGUCUUCAGCUCUCUCCUCGUCCCACCCCCAUGGUCUGCUGACAGCCCAGCUCAGUGCAUCCCUGCCAUCUCUGCUCUACCGCUGGUCCUCCCAACAACCAACUUACAGGUUUGGGGGCACACGUGAAGGUUUGACAUAUAGUAAACACAUGUCAUGGUGGUUUGUUGUACAGAUUAUUACAUCACCCAGGUACUAAGCCCAGUACCCAAUAGUUGUCUUUUCUGCUCCUCUCCCUCCUCCCGCCCUCAAGAAGACCCCCGUGUCUGCACUUUCCUUCUUUGUGUUCGUAAGUUCUUAUCAUUUAGCUCCCAAUGCUUUCCAUUCUUUUAGAUAUAUGUGCCCUUGGCAUUUUUGCCCUUUUGGGCCCCUUCUUCCAGCAAAUAAUAAUAAUAGUAAUAAUUAAUUCUAUUUUACAACUAUUGGUAUAAAGACAAAUAUAUUAAUUUUUUUUUUUUUUCCGAGACAGGGUUUCACUCCCGUCACCCAGACUGGAGUACAAUGGUGCGAUCUCAGCUCACUGCAACCUCUGCCUCCUGGGCUUAAGCGAUUCUCCUGCCUUGGCCUCCCAAGUAGCUGGGAUUACAGGUGCCUGCCACCACUCCUGGCUAAUUUUUGUAUUUUUUGUAAAGGCGGAGUUUCUCCAUGUUGCCCAGGCUAGUCUCAAACUCCUGAGCUCAAGCAAUCCACCCGCCUCGGCCUCCCAAAUAAGUGGAAUUAUAGGUGUGAGCCACCACGCCGGCCCUGAUGUAUCAAUAUUAAAACAUUUUCUUCAGCCUACAAGUUCUUCUUUUUCUUAUUUGGAUGCAAACUAAAACAUUUUGUGGGCCCUUAGAUUGAACAUUCUCAUGGGUCCUGUGCCUCCUGUGCGUCAUGGAGAAGGCAGCCCUGCAUGGCUCUCACAUCCUCUUCCCCCACGCAAAUG
This 1495-nucleotide long non-coding RNA is filed under the name Homo sapiens (human). RNAcentral describes it as "HSALNT0148194". Lineage: Eukaryota; Metazoa; Chordata; Mammalia; Primates; Hominidae. The record is from RNAcentral.